GCCGGCAGCUAGCUCUCUGCAACUCUCACAUGGUCGCCCACUGAAGCUUAGCAGGGCUGUGCCCGGUCAGUACCUGGAUGGCAGACCACAUGGUAAAGCUAGGUUGCUGCCGGAA
RNAcentral lists this ribosomal RNA (115 nucleotides) under Danio rerio (zebrafish). The record is from RNAcentral. Lineage: Eukaryota; Metazoa; Chordata; Actinopteri; Cypriniformes; Danionidae.